CAUGCAGUCGAACGGCAGCACGGGAGCAAUCCUGGUGGCGAGUGGCGAACGGGUGAGUAAUACAUCGGAACGUGUCCUGUAGUGGGGGAUAGCCCGGCGAAAGCCGGAUUAAUACCGCAUACGCUCUACGGAGGAAAGGGGGGGAUCUUCGGACCUCUCGCUACAGGGGCGGCCGAUGGCAGAUUAGCUAGUUGGUGGGGUAAAGGCCUACCAAGGCGACGAUCUGUAGCUGGUCUGAGAGGACGACCAGCCACACUGGGACUGAGACACGGCCCAGACUCCUACGGGAGGCAGCAGUGGGGAAUUUUGGACAAUGGGGGCAACCCUGAUCCAGCAAUGCCGCGUGUGUGAAGAAGGCCUUCGGGUUGUAAAGCACUUUUGUCCGGAAAGAAAACUUCGGCCCUAAUACGGCGGGAGGAUGACGGUACCGGAAGAAUAAGCACCGGCUAACUACGUGCCAGCAGCCGCGGUAAUACGUAGGGUGCAAGCGUUAAUCGGAAUUACUGGGCGUAAAGCGUGCGCAGGCGGUCCGCUAAGACAGAUGUGAAAUCCCCGGGCUUAACCUGGGAACUGCAUUUGUGACUGGCGGGCUAGAGUAUGGCAGAGGGGGGUAGAAUUCCACGUGUAGCA
RNAcentral lists this ribosomal RNA (630 nucleotides) under Burkholderia sp. AR5(4). RNAcentral describes it as "bacterial SSU rRNA". It matches the Rfam family "Bacterial small subunit ribosomal RNA", at positions 54 to 680 of the family's 1533-position model. Lineage: Bacteria; Pseudomonadati; Pseudomonadota; Betaproteobacteria; Burkholderiales; Burkholderiaceae. The record is from RNAcentral.